AAAGAUUUUCUAUUUUGUUUGA
RNAcentral lists this small nuclear RNA (22 nucleotides) under Arabidopsis thaliana (thale cress). RNAcentral's name for it is "snRNA_00179". Lineage: Eukaryota; Viridiplantae; Streptophyta; Magnoliopsida; Brassicales; Brassicaceae. The record is from RNAcentral.